This 339-nucleotide unclassified non-coding RNA is filed under the name soil metagenome. RNAcentral describes it as "partial contains 5.8S ribosomal RNA, internal transcribed spacer 2, and large subunit ribosomal RNA". The stretch from base 1 to 120 matches the Rfam family "5.8S ribosomal RNA", at positions 35 to 154 of the family's 154-position model. The record is from RNAcentral.
GAUGAAGAACGCAGCGAAAUGCGAUACGUAGUGUGAAUUGCAGAAUUCAGUGAAUCAUCGAAUCUUUGAACGCACAUUGCACCUCUCGGUAUUCCGGGAGGUAUGCCUGUUCGAGCGUCAUUUGUACCCUCAAGCUCUGCUUGGUGUUGGGUGUUUGUUCCGCCUCUGUGUGUGAACUCGCCUCAAAACAAUUGGCAGCCGGCGUACUUGUUUCGGAGCGCAGCACAGUUUGCGAUCCAGAUCAACGUACAGCGGCAUCCAAGAAGCCUUAUUUAACGCUCUUGACCUCGGAUCAGGUAGGGAUACCCGCUGAACUUAAGCAUAUCAAUAAGCGGAGGA